UACAGAGGGUGCGAGCGUUAAUCGGAAUUACUGGGCGUAAAGCGUGCGUAGACGGUUAUUUAAGUCGGAUGUGAAAGCCCCGGGCUCAACCUGGGAAUUGCAUUCGAGACUGAAUAGCUAGGGUGCGGUAGAGGGAAGCGGAAUUUCCGGUGUAGCGGUGAAAUGCGUAGAUAUCGGAAGGAACAUCAGUGGCGAAGGCGGCUAUCUGGACAGAGUCUGACGCUGAGGCGCGAAAGCUAGGGGAGCAAACAGG
RNAcentral lists this ribosomal RNA (253 nucleotides) under uncultured bacterium. Its description in RNAcentral is "partial 16S ribosomal RNA". It matches the Rfam family "Bacterial small subunit ribosomal RNA", at positions 524 to 776 of the family's 1533-position model. The record is from RNAcentral.